CGGGACCCAAUUUUUCUUUAAGAUGAGGUGGAGUCGUCAACAAUGGGACAAGAAGAAGCUCUUCCAUAAAGUAGUAGCAGCAGUGAUGAUCAUCUCUCAUUGUGUUGUGUGUUGAUAAAAGAGGAGAUUAAGGUUGUUCUUUUAGGGUUUUCUUGAAUGGUGAAGACAGUGUUGGAUAAAGGGUGGUUAGCUGCCCGAUCCACUGAAGUUGAAAUCAAUGGAGUACAGCUCACUACUACUCAACCUCCAACACAACCUCUUAAUUCUCCUUGGAUGGAAGCUUCUGUUCCCGGAACGUAAUGUUUCUCUUUUUAGUCAAAAUCAG
RNAcentral lists this unclassified non-coding RNA (325 nucleotides) under Hevea brasiliensis (rubber tree). The record is from RNAcentral. Lineage: Eukaryota; Viridiplantae; Streptophyta; Magnoliopsida; Malpighiales; Euphorbiaceae.